RNAcentral lists this long non-coding RNA (269 nucleotides) under Lathyrus oleraceus (garden pea). Its description in RNAcentral is "Pisum sativum (pea) long non-coding RNA (PSAT_LNC027572)". The record is from RNAcentral. Lineage: Eukaryota; Viridiplantae; Streptophyta; Magnoliopsida; Fabales; Fabaceae.
AGGAGACUCUAUCGUAUUUUCUUUAUUGUUUUUCUCGUUUUUCCUUUAUCGUUUUUUCUUUGCUGUUUUUAGAUAGUUUAUUUCUUUUUAUUUCCUUUUAGUUGUUUAUUUUGCUUUUUAGUAUAAUGCAUGAGUCUGACGAGUCACCAAAUAUAAUAGAUCUUUAGUACAAUCCUACCUCCCCAUACCUUUAGCCUCACCACCGGAAAAAAAAUUGCAAAAGAAAAUAGUGUUAUUCCAAAAGUUUUCAGGUUUUAAAGACAUGUUUU